Long non-coding RNA from Magallana angulata, 1497 nucleotides. RefSeq lists it as uncharacterized. The record is from RefSeq and is a predicted model, not a curated record. The transcript has 4 exons. NCBI's taxonomy places the organism in Eukaryota, Metazoa, Mollusca, Bivalvia, Ostreida, Ostreidae.
GUUUUACCGAUGCUCCGAGGACGCGAGUGUAUAAAAACACCUUUACUCCGAGGACGUAAAUUUCUCCCGAGGACUUUUUUCGGGUCCUCGGAAAGAUUCUGUCCCAAUCAACUCAAAAUGACGAAAUAUAUCAUGUGGUGAAAUUUGGUGAAAGUCCUCAGAAGGUCGGUAAAAUGUGAAUGUGCGUUUCCCGGUCACACAGUUUUAUCGGACGCCAUAACACACACUUGUUGUUUUCGAUGCGCGCGCAUCUCGGCGGCGGAAGUGAUGAUCAAUCAAGAUCUCUGGAGGUCGUAAAACGCCGCCACUGUCCAGCGGGAGAGAAAAUUGUCAGUUGACCAUAGCAUCACAAGUUACUGUGGAUUCUGGUUAUUUUAAAAGUGAAAAUCAUGAAGAACUUUCGUGUAUUAUUUAGGGAUGGAGGACGGGUGCCAUGUUUACAUUCGCAACGAACAUAAGCAGACCAGUCUAUUUGUUUUCUGGGGGAUAUGACGAUAGGACCAUAUCUAUAGCUGUGUGAUGGGAGGUGAAUUUCAUCAUGACCUAAUGAUGGAAGAAGUAUAAUUGACAGAGUAUCAUGGAAUCCUUGUAACCAACCUUUUCUUGUUGAUGUGGAUUUUUUAAAUUAAGGAAACUGACUAAAAAAAUUACAUGCUGAAGGAUCAAGAAAAUGAUUCCAAUAAAAGAACUAAAAAGCCAUUUCACCAGUUAAAAGUGUGGAUGAUAUUCAGUGUGUUCAAAAAGUUGAAUAUAUAUAUACACAAAAAUGCAUUGAUUAGGAUGCAAAUUUGAUACAGAUUUAAGAAUCAUACAGUGUCAAGAUUCAUCAAUAGUGUGAAACAAUUUAUCAAUAAUAUGGCAACAUGCGACUGAUAUUGGAUUAGACAUCAACUUAUGAGGAAAUCUCAAGAAAAGAGUUGGACAUAAUACCAAAGAUAUGAAUGGAAUACAAAUGGAAAAGAAUCACCAUGGCCCAUACUAGAUGCAACUUGAAGUUGAACACUUUCGUGCAAUUUAUAAUAACUGCAUGCUUGAUAAAUUGGAAUGAUAAGUUUUCAGUCCAUACAUAUAACUUAAUUUAAUUUUGGGAAAUUUUAUCAAAGCUGAAUUUAAAAUUGCAUGUGAAUGUUUAUUUUUGUAUGUAGUCAGUACAUAUUAUAUUGUGGAAUCAUCGUGGUUGUGGGGGACCAAUGUUCAUGGCUUUCGUGAGUAACUGGCUUGCACACAAAUUUACAUCCCCUUCAAUGUAUACACAAGCAAAUAUUUAGUAUGUAUUGAUAAAAUAGAACUUGCUACUGAAGAAAUUACCUCCCCAUGAACUAGGAACAGUUUGGUAACCAACGGACAUUGACCCCCACAAAUAAAAAUGAUUCCACAGUACUACAUGUACGGUACAUAGAAAUUAUCAUAAUUAAUUUAGCUUCUAAAAAUGAACAUGUCUGAAAUAUAUUUAUUUGAAAUCAUUUAAAUUUUGUUUAAGAAUGAAUUUGUUACAGA